CCGCCCUUAGCUCAGCUGGAUAGAGCAUGUGCCUUCUAAGCACAGGGUCAGAGGUUCGAAUCCUCUAGGGCGGGCCA
RNAcentral lists this transfer RNA (77 nucleotides) under Porticoccaceae bacterium. RNAcentral describes it as "tRNA-Arg". It matches the Rfam family "tRNA". From Rfam's summary of the family: Transfer RNA (tRNA) molecules are approximately 80 nucleotides in length. Lineage: Bacteria; Pseudomonadati; Pseudomonadota; Gammaproteobacteria; Cellvibrionales; Porticoccaceae. The record is from RNAcentral.